RNAcentral lists this ribosomal RNA (467 nucleotides) under uncultured bacterium. RNAcentral describes it as "partial 16S ribosomal RNA". It matches the Rfam family "Bacterial small subunit ribosomal RNA", at positions 28 to 506 of the family's 1533-position model. The record is from RNAcentral.
GACGAACGCUGGCGGCGUGCUUAACACAUGCAAGUCGAACGGAAAGGCCCUGCUUUUGUGGGGUGCUCGAGUGGCGAACGGGUGAGUAACACGUGAGUAACCUGCCCUUGACUUUGGGAUAACUUCAGGAAACUGGGGCUAAUACCGGAUAGGAGCUCCUGCUGCAUUGUGGGGGUUGGAAAUUUUCGGCGGUUGGGGAUGGACUCGCGGCUUAUCAGCUUGUUGGUGGGGUAGUGGCUUACCAAGGCUUUGACGGGUAGCCGGCCUGAGAGGGUGACCGGCCACAUUGGGACUGAGAUACGGCCCAGACGCCUACGGGAGGCAGCAGUGGGGAAUAUUGCACAAUGGGCGGAAGCCUGAUGCAGCAACGCCGCGUGCGGGAUGACGGCCUUCGGGUUGUAAACCGCUUUCGCCUGUGACGAAGCGUGAGUGACGGUAAUUGGUAAAGAAGCACCGGCUAACUACGU